This 68-nucleotide transfer RNA is filed under the name Gari elongata. RNAcentral describes it as "tRNA-Gln". The record is from RNAcentral. Lineage: Eukaryota; Metazoa; Mollusca; Bivalvia; Cardiida; Psammobiidae.
UGCGAGAUGGUGUUAUGGCACAUUAAGUUUUGGACUUUAAGGUGGUAGGUUAUUUCUAUCUCUUGCAG